UUGGGCAGUCGCCAAGCGGUAAGGCAAUGGACUCUGACUCCAUCAUCCGGGGGUUCAAAUCCCUCCUGCCUAGU
RNAcentral lists this transfer RNA (74 nucleotides) under Clostridia bacterium. RNAcentral describes it as "tRNA-Gln". It matches the Rfam family "tRNA". Rfam says of the family: Transfer RNA (tRNA) molecules are approximately 80 nucleotides in length. Their secondary structure includes four short double-helical elements and three loops (D, anti-codon, and T loops). Further hydrogen bonds mediate the characteristic L-shaped molecular structure. tRNAs have two regions of fundamental functional importance: the anti-codon, which is responsible for specific mRNA codon recognition, and the 3' end, to which the tRNAs corresponding amino acid is attached (by aminoacyl-tRNA synthetases). tRNAs cope with the degeneracy of the genetic code in two manners: having more than one tRNA (with a specific anti-codon) for a particular amino acid; and 'wobble' base-pairing, i.e. permitting non-standard base-pairing at the 3rd anti-codon position. Lineage: Bacteria; Bacillati; Bacillota; Clostridia. The record is from RNAcentral.